This 323-nucleotide ribosomal RNA is filed under the name uncultured eukaryote. Its description in RNAcentral is "partial 18S ribosomal RNA". It matches the Rfam family "Eukaryotic small subunit ribosomal RNA", at positions 1470 to 1796 of the family's 1831-position model. The record is from RNAcentral.
CCCUUAGAUGUCCUGGGCCGCACGCGCGCUACACUGAACGGAUCAGCGCGUUUUCCCUUCCCGAGAGGGACGGGUAACCUGCUGAACCCCGUUCGUGGUAGGGAUCGGGGCUUGCAAUUAUUCCCCGUGAACCAGGAAUGCCCAGUAAGUGCAAGUCAUAAGCUUGCGUUGAUUACGUCCCUGCCCUUUGUACACACCGCCCGUCGCUACUACCGAUUGAGUGAUCCGGUGAAUAAUUCGGACUGCAGCAGUGUUCAGUUCCUGAACGUUGCAGCGGAAAGUUUAGUGAACCUUAUCACUUAGAGGAAGGAGAAGUCGUANCA